This 460-nucleotide ribosomal RNA is filed under the name uncultured bacterium. RNAcentral's name for it is "partial 16S ribosomal RNA". It matches the Rfam family "Bacterial small subunit ribosomal RNA", at positions 338 to 795 of the family's 1533-position model. The record is from RNAcentral.
CCUACGGGGGACAGCAGUGAGGAAUAUUGGUCAAUGGACGAGAGUCUGAACCAGCCAAGUAGCGUGAAGGAUGACUGCCCUAUGGGUUGUAAACUUCUUUUAUAUGGGAAUAAAACGUUCCACGUGUGGGAUUUUGUAUGUACCGUAUGAAUAAGGAUCGGCUAACUCCGUGCCAGCAGCCGCGGUAAUACGGAGGAUCCGAGCGUUAUCCGGAUUUAUUGGGUUUAAAGGGAGCGUAGGUGGAUUGUUAAGUCAGUUGUGAAAGUUUGCGGCUCAACCGUAAAAUUGCAGUUGAAACUGGCAGUCUUGAGUACAGUAGAGGUGGGCGGAAUUCGUGGUGUAGCGGUGAAAUGCUUAGAUAUCACGAAGAACUCCGAUUGCGAAGGCAGUUCACUGGACUGCAACUGACACUGAGGCUCGAAAGUGUGGGUAUCAAACAGGAUUAGAUACCCUGGUAGUC